GAUUUGAGCUAAUACCGGAUGAUGUCGCAACGCACCAAGGAUUUAUCGCCCAAGGAUGAGCCCGCUUAAGAUUAGCUAGUUGGUGAGGUAAAGGCUGCGCCCCGGCGACCAUCCUUAGCUGGUCUGAGAGGAGGAUCACCCACACUGGGACUGAGACACGGCCCAAACUCCUACUGGAGGCAGCAGUGGGGAAUAUUGGACAAUGGGCGAAAGCCUGAUCCACCAUUGCCACUUGAGUGAUGAAAGCCUUAUGGUUGUAAAGCUCUUUUACCCGGGAUGAUAAUGACAGUACCGGGAGAAUAAGCUCCGGCUAACUCCGUGCCAGCGACCGCGGUAGUACGGGGGGAGCUAGCGUUAUUCCGAAUUACUGGGCGUAAAGCGCGCGCAGGCGGCUUCUUAAGUCUGAUGUGAAAUCUUGCGGCUCAACCGCUAGUGGUCAUUGGAAACUGGGAAGCUUGAGUACAUAAGAUGAGAGUACAAUUCCACGUGUAGCGGUGGAAUGCGUAGAUAUGUGGAGGAAUACCAGUGGCGAAGGCAGCUCUCUGGUCUGUAACUGACGCUGAGGCGCGAAAUCGUGGGGAGCACACAGGAUUAGAUACCCUGCUAGUCCACGCCGUAGACGAUGAAUGCUAGGUGUUAGGGGGUCCAACCCUUAGUGCUGAAGUUAACA
This 670-nucleotide ribosomal RNA is filed under the name uncultured microorganism. Its description in RNAcentral is "bacterial SSU rRNA". It matches the Rfam family "Bacterial small subunit ribosomal RNA", at positions 155 to 857 of the family's 1533-position model. The record is from RNAcentral.